Molecule: ribosomal RNA, 303 nt
Filed under: uncultured bacterium
Lineage: Bacteria
Description: bacterial SSU rRNA
Rfam family: Bacterial small subunit ribosomal RNA
Source: RNAcentral
GACGAACGCUGGCGGCGUGCUUAACACAUGCAAGUCGAACGGUAAGGCCCUUCGGGUACGACGAGUGGCGAACGGGUGAGUAACACGUGGGUGAUCUGCCCUGCACUUCGGGAUAAGCCUGGGAAACUGGGUCUAAUACCGGAUAGGACCAUGGACUUCACGGUUUGUGGUGGAAAGCUUUUGCGGUGUGGGAUGGGCCCGCGGCCUAUCAGCUUGUUGGUGGGGUAAUGGCCUACCCAAAGGCGACGACGGGUAGCCGGCCUGAGAGGGUGUCCGGCCACACUGGGACUGAGAUACGGCCCA